GAUGAAGAACGCAGCGAAAUGCGAUAAGUAAUGCGAAUUGCAGAAUUCAGUGAGUCAUCGAAUCUUUGAACGCACAUUGCGCCCUGUGGUAUUCCGCAGGGCAUGCCUGUUCGAGCGUCAUUUCAACCCUCAAGCCCCGCUUGGUGUUGGGCCCCGCCCGCUGUGGCCGGCCCUAAAGACAGUGGCGGCGCCGCCUGGCCCUCAGCGUAGUACAUCUCUCGCUCCAGGGUCCGGUGGCCGCCUGCCAGAACCCCCCAACUCUGUGGUUGACCUCGGAUCAGGUAGGGAUACCCGCUGAACUUAAGCAUAUCAAAAAGCGGAGGA
This 324-nucleotide unclassified non-coding RNA is filed under the name soil metagenome. RNAcentral's name for it is "partial contains 5.8S ribosomal RNA, internal transcribed spacer 2, and large subunit ribosomal RNA". The stretch from base 1 to 120 matches the Rfam family "5.8S ribosomal RNA", at positions 35 to 154 of the family's 154-position model. The record is from RNAcentral.